Molecule: ribosomal RNA, 433 nt
Filed under: Butyrivibrio sp. YAB3001
Lineage: Bacteria; Bacillati; Bacillota; Clostridia; Lachnospirales; Lachnospiraceae
Description: bacterial SSU rRNA
Rfam family: Bacterial small subunit ribosomal RNA
Source: RNAcentral
CUGGCUCAGGAUGAACGCUGGCGGCGUGCCUAACACAUGCAAGUCGAACGGAUUUUGCUCGCAGCAGAGACUUCGGUCGAAGCUUGAGUAAAGUUAGUGGCGGACGGGUGAGUAACGCGUGGGCAACCUGCCUCAUACUGGGGGAUAACAGUUGGAAACGACUGUUAAUACCGCAUAAGCGCACAGUGUCGCAUGACACAGUGUGAAAAACUCCGGUGGUAUGAGAUGGGCCCGCGUCAGAUUAGCCAGUUGGCGGGGUAACGGCCCACCAAAGCGACGAUCUGUAGCCGGACUGAGAGGUCGGACGGCCACAUUGGGACUGAGACACGGCCCAAACUCCUACGGGAGGCAGCAGUGGGGGAUAUUGCACAAUGGAGGAAACUCUGAUGCAGCGACGCCGCGUGAGUGAAGAAGUAUUUCGGUAUGUAAAGCU